AGAGUUUGAUUCUGGCUCAGGAUGAACGCUAGCUACAGGCUUAACACAUGCAAGUCGAGGGGCAGCAUGAGCUUAGCUUGCUAAGCUUGAUGGCGACCGGCGCACGGGUGAGUAACGCGUAUCCAACUUCCCCUUAGUAGAGGAUAGCCCGGCGAAAGUCGGAUUAAUACUCUAUGUUGUUCGAUGCGGACAUCUAAGUUGAACCAAAGGUUUACCGCUAAGGGAUGGGGAUGCGUCUGAUUAGGUAGUAGGCGGGGUAACGGCCCACCUAGCCUACGAUCAGUAGGGGUUCUGAGAGGAAGGUCCCCCACAUUGGAACUGAGACACGGUCCAAACUCCUACGGGAGGCAGCAGUGAGGAAUAUUGGUCAAUGGCCGAGAGGCUGAACCAGCCAAGUAGCGUGCAAGGAUGACGGCCCUAUGGGUUGUAAACUGCUUUUGUAUGGGGAUAAAGUUCACUACGUGUAGUGAUUUGCAGGUACCAUAUGAAUAAGGACCGGCUAAUUCCGUGCCAGCCGCGGC
This 521-nucleotide ribosomal RNA is filed under the name uncultured bacterium. RNAcentral's name for it is "bacterial SSU rRNA". It matches the Rfam family "Bacterial small subunit ribosomal RNA", at positions 8 to 518 of the family's 1533-position model. The record is from RNAcentral.